CGCUUCCCAUGUGCCAGCACCUGUGGGUACAUUUCAUGCAUUAUCUCCUUGCAUUCUUCUACAUACUAUGAGGAAGCUGUCGUUACCCCCAUUUUUGCAGAAGAGGAGACAGACUUUGAGAGCUCCCUGCAUCAGGCAAGCCCAUAAGUCAUCUCGCUGCCCCAGAUGAUUGCUGUCUUCUGGUUGAUGGUGAAAUGAAGCAACAGCUGAGCCUGUGCCCAGACAGACUAAUGAAAGGACGUGAAUAAGAGUGGGAAGGAAACCUUCUGGGAAGGUUUACUCAGAUUAUUGGACCACUCUCAUUGAAGAGGCAUGCCGAAACAGGAAGAAUCCAGGAACCAGGAACCUGAGGACUCUUGCUGCAAUCUUGCCAGCCCACCUGGGUUCUUGGCGAACGUCUCAACACUUGAAAUAGCUGGUUCUAAAAAUCAGAUACUGUGAUAAAGAGACGUGGGAGGAAAAAAACUAUUGACCUAUUUUCUGGAGAAAGGAAAAACAAUCUGCCAAAUCAAAGAUGUUUCCAGAGAGUGGGUUGGUUUUGAUAAAUAAUUAACUUGGGUUGAUUUCAUUGUGUCUGGAGGAGCAAUUACAACAGCAUGUUCACGCCCCUGGAGUUCUGUUGUUGUCACAUUUUCCACGAUAACAUCU
Molecule: non-coding RNA, 648 nt
Organism: Microcebus murinus (gray mouse lemur)
Lineage: Eukaryota; Metazoa; Chordata; Mammalia; Primates; Cheirogaleidae
Source: RefSeq, a predicted model, not a curated record